This 73-nucleotide transfer RNA is filed under the name Neotoma lepida (desert woodrat). It matches the Rfam family "tRNA". Rfam says of the family: Transfer RNA (tRNA) molecules are approximately 80 nucleotides in length. Their secondary structure includes four short double-helical elements and three loops (D, anti-codon, and T loops). Further hydrogen bonds mediate the characteristic L-shaped molecular structure. tRNAs have two regions of fundamental functional importance: the anti-codon, which is responsible for specific mRNA codon recognition, and the 3' end, to which the tRNAs corresponding amino acid is attached (by aminoacyl-tRNA synthetases). tRNAs cope with the degeneracy of the genetic code in two manners: having more than one tRNA (with a specific anti-codon) for a particular amino acid; and 'wobble' base-pairing, i.e. permitting non-standard base-pairing at the 3rd anti-codon position. The record is from Rfam by way of RNAcentral. Lineage: Eukaryota; Metazoa; Chordata; Mammalia; Rodentia; Cricetidae.
GGGCAGAUGGCUCAGUGGGUAAGAGCACUUGCUUUGAAAGCAAGAGGACUUGAGUUCAAAUCCCUAUCACCCA